This 454-nucleotide ribosomal RNA is filed under the name uncultured archaeon. Its description in RNAcentral is "bacterial SSU rRNA". It matches the Rfam family "Archaeal small subunit ribosomal RNA", at positions 326 to 779 of the family's 1478-position model. The record is from RNAcentral.
CGGGGAGCAGCAGGCGCGAAACCUUUACACUGCACGAGAGUGCGAUAAGGGGACCCCGAGUGCGAGGGUAUACAGUCCUCGCUUUUGUACGCCGUAGGGAGGUGUACGAAUAAGAGCUGGGCAAGACCGGUGCCAGCCGCCGCGGUAAUACCGGCAGCUCGAGUGAUGGCCGCUGUUAUUGGGCCUAAAGCGUCCGUAGCCGGCCGAACAAGUCCGUCGGGAAAUCCAUCGGCUUAACCGAUGGGCGUCCGGCGGAAACUGUUCGGCUUGGGGCCGGAGGACCCGAGGGGUACGUCCGGGGUAGGAGUGAAAUCCCGUAAUCCUGGACGGACCGCCGGUGGCGAAAGCGCCUCGGGAGGACGGACCCGACGGUGAGGGACGAAAGCUAGGGUCACGAACCGGAUUAGAUACCCGGGUAGUCCUAGCCGUAAACGAUGCCCGCUAGGUGUGGCAC